UCAUGGUAGGCCUUUCGAUAA
Molecule: non-coding RNA, 21 nt
Filed under: Caenorhabditis elegans
Lineage: Eukaryota; Metazoa; Nematoda; Chromadorea; Rhabditida; Rhabditidae
Source: RNAcentral